This 503-nucleotide ribosomal RNA is filed under the name uncultured bacterium. RNAcentral describes it as "partial 16S ribosomal RNA". It matches the Rfam family "Bacterial small subunit ribosomal RNA", at positions 28 to 523 of the family's 1533-position model. The record is from RNAcentral.
GAUGAACGCUAGCGGCAGGCCUAACACAUGCAAGUCGAGGGGUAGCAGGAUUAAGCUUGCUUAAUUGCUGACGACCGGCGCACGGGUGCGUAACGCGUAUGCAACCUACCUUAUACUGGGGUAUAGCCCGGAGAAAUUCGGAUUAAUCCCCCAUAGUACUAAUGAAUCGCAUGGUUUAUUAGUUAAAGCAUUGCGGUAUAAGAUGGGCAUGCGUCCUAUUAGCUGGAUGGUGAGGUAACGGCUCACCAUGGCUACGAUAGGUGGGGGGCCUGAGAGGGGCGACCCCCACACUGGUACUGAGACACGGACCAGACUCCUACGGGAGGCAGCAGUGAGGAAUAUUGGUCAAUGGGCGCAAGCCUGAACCAGCCAUGCCGCGUGCAGGAAGAAUGCCCUAUGGGUUGUAAACUGCUUUUAUUUGGGAAUAAACCUCUUUACGUGUAGAGAGCUGAAGGUACCAAAUGAAUAAGCACCGGCUAACUCCGUGCCAGCAGCCGCCGUAA